AAAAAUGACGACUUUUGGAAAGACACGGUGAGAUUUGCUCCAAAAAAGUCAAGUUUUCACCGCAAUUCCGAGGAUAAACUGCUGCCAAGGUGUAAUGUCAGGCUCUCCGAGUAGAUGUCCAAGACCGGCCAUGAAAAGAAGCUGCACUCUCAGUAAAAGAAAGUUUGCUCCACCCUCCAAUGAGAUGUACCCAUCCGAAGCGUAGGUGUCUGAGAUCUGCAAACAGCAACGCUGAAAGUGUCUUCCCAUCAACAUAUUCAAUACUGAAGCAAAGUUUGCAAAUUCUGGUUUUGGGUUUUUUAAUAAUGUACAAUACUCUGUGAUCUUGAUAGAAUGGUGCUAUAUACAUGUAUACAAAUUUUUCUUCAAGCAGGCUUGACUCCUUGAUUCCGAUUCGUCAAUUCAUAGCAACAAGGAAUGUGAUUUAAACUUGUAUUUCACGACCUAUAACAAAUCUUGCAACAUAAGCUAUAUAUGCAAAAUGUACAGUUUAUUUUAUAACAAGUCAAUGUAAAUUCAAAAGAAACGUGUUUUGCGUAAAAUUCGGAUCAUCAAGUGCAAAAGUAUGCUUGGAGAUAAAUUUUGUUAUCACAAGCGUGCUCCUGAAUACAAACAAAUAUACAAUGCUGCGUCCCAUAUCCAGAUAAGUGCUAUUUUGUUAUAUACCACUUGCGCUUGUGUGAUUAACUCAUAAUGUUGUAUGUAUGUAUUUUAGUAUCGUAUAAGAUUAGUUAGUAUAGAUUUAUUGUCAACAUUUUAAAAUAUGUAAAUAAGUGCACCAUUGCAAGCAAGCACAUAUGCGUUUUUGUGCGCUACUUGGCGAUCUUAGGGCCUUGGUGGUGCGGCACUCGAAUAGUUUGGAAUCCGGAAGUACAAAGCAUGGGAAAUUCCAAACUUAAUACGAAAAGGGACUUGGACACGUGCACGUGGCAUGUGGGGUCUCAGCCCGGCCGGUUGUUUCACAGCUGGUGGUUGAUCUUAAAGGUGCAUCAUCUUCCUCAGCGGGUAGGAUGCUCUGGUCACAAUUGUGGUCGACCAAACGGUUUAGUUCCUAGUCUAGGCCAUGGUACUAGGGACCGCGUCUCGGGGGUAGGGGGUGUUCCCCCUCAG
This is a long non-coding RNA of Asterias rubens (European starfish), 1110 nucleotides long. RefSeq lists it as uncharacterized. NCBI's taxonomy places the organism in Eukaryota, Metazoa, Echinodermata, Asteroidea, Forcipulatida, Asteriidae. The transcript has 3 exons. The record is from RefSeq and is a predicted model, not a curated record.